Molecule: ribosomal RNA, 793 nt
Filed under: uncultured archaeon
Lineage: Archaea
Description: bacterial SSU rRNA
Rfam family: Archaeal small subunit ribosomal RNA
Source: RNAcentral
ACUGCUCAGUAACACGUGGACAACCUGCCCUUAGGUUGGGUAUAAACCCGGGAAACUGGGUAUAAUACCCGAUAGGUCUCGAUUGCUGGAAUGCAUCGAGAUUUAAAGCUCCGGCGCCUAAGGAUGGGUCUGCGGCCUAUCAGGUAGUAGUGGGUGUAGCGUACCUACUAGCCUACGACGGGUACGGGUUGUGAGAGCAAGAGCCCGGAGAUGGAUUCUGAGACACGAAUCCAGGCCCUACGGGGUGCAGCAGGCGCGAAAACUUUACAAUGCUGGCAACAGCGAUAAGGGAACCUCGAGUGCCAGGUUACAAAUCUGGCUGUCGAGAUGCCUAGAAAGCAUUUCAUAGCAAGGGCCGGGCAAGACCGGUGCCAGCCGCCGCGGUAACACCGGCGGCUCGAGUGGUAACCGUUAUUAUUGGGUCUAAAGGGUCUGUAGCCGGCCGGAUAAGUCUCUUGAGAAAUCUGGCAGCUUAACUGUCAGGCUUUCAGGAGAUACUGUCUGGCUCGAGGCCGGGAGAGGUGAGAGGUACUUCAGGGGUAGGGGUGAAAUCUUGUAAUCCUUGAAGGACCACCAGUGGCGAAGGCGUCUCACCAGAACGGACCUGACGGCAAGGGACGAAAGCUAGGGGCACGAACCGGAUUAGAUACCCGGGUAGUCCUAGCCGUAAACGAUACUCGCUAGGUGUCGGCCACGGUGCGACCGCUGUCGGUGCCGUAGGGAAGCCGUGAAGCGAGCCACCUGGGAAGUACGGCCGCAAGGCUGAAACUUAAAGGAAUUGGCGGGGGAGCAC